RNAcentral lists this ribosomal RNA (468 nucleotides) under uncultured bacterium. Its description in RNAcentral is "partial 16S ribosomal RNA". It matches the Rfam family "Bacterial small subunit ribosomal RNA", at positions 28 to 507 of the family's 1533-position model. The record is from RNAcentral.
GACGAACGCUGGCGGCGUGCUUAACACAUGCAAGUCGAACGGAAAGGCCCUGCUUUUGUGGGGUGCUCGAGUGGCGAACGGGUGAGUAACACGUGAGUAACCUGCCCUUGACUUUGGGAUAACUUCUGGAAACUGGGGCUAAUACUGGAUAGGAGCUCCUGCUGCAUGGUGGGGGUUGGAAAGUUUCGGCGGUUGGGGAUGGACUCGCGGCUUAUCAGCUUGUUGGUGGGGUAGUGGCUCACCAAGGCUUUGACGGGUAGCCGGCCUGAGAGGGUGACCGGCCACAUUGGGACUGAGAUACGGCCCAGACUCCUACGGGAGGCAGCAGUGGGGAAUAUUGCACAAUGGGCGGAAGCCUGAUGCAGCAACGCCGCGUGCGGGAUGACGGCCUUCGGGUUGUAAACCGCUUUCGCCUGUGACGAAGCGUGAGUGACGGUAAUGGGUAAAGAAGCACCGGCUAACUACGUG